AGCACUGCUGAGGGGGUGGCCAGGGGAAGGGCCCACCGCCCACCAGGAGGUCUGCCUGCGGCUCUGCUCCUCCCUGGCACACAUCAUGGACUCCCAUUAUACAUGGAACACGUGCCUGGUGGGGAUCGAUGCCACCAUGGGGCCUGGGAUUAUUUGCAUCUUUGCUGGAAAGAGCCUUCACACCAACAUGAAACUUCAAGGACGCUAGAACGUCAGCGCCUGCCUGAGCGCCCCCAUCCUUCAGUGUGUCUGUGGACAGGGCUUGCGGUUCUAUGAAGAUAUGGCAGAAAGUAUUUUGGAGGAGAAAAGCAAUCCAGUGAGGAGGUGACCACGGUAAAAGUGAGGCAUCACUAGAAUCCACCCAGCCAAAGCUUACAGCGGAAAAUGGGUCACAGGGUGACCACAGUGAGUCAUUCUGGAUGGGGUACAACCCACACACCCCCACCACCAGCUGCCUGGCUCCUCUGGGAAUUUCCAGUGGAAAAUCUCCACUUCUGAUCCAAGAAGGAGGGGAUGGCCUGUCCCAGUGGGAACACUAAGGAAAUCGAUGCAACUCAAUUCACUGUAAAAUGUGUGUCUAUUGAGCUUUUGUGAAUGCACAUUUGCCAAACCCUGUGCUUUCUCUCACAGCGCUGCAGAGGCCACAGAAACGGAUGGUAUCAGGAAAAGUUUUCAGGCAGGAGUCAUGUUCAGGACGGCGUCGCCGCAGCGCGCUCCCAGCAGCCCAGGCGAGGACGCGCGGCGGCCCGCGGGCGGACGAGGAAGCGUGGUGUGUCCGAGCGGCGGUGUCAUUCAGGCGCGGAAAGGAGGGACGUCCUGGUGCUGCUGCACCGGCAGAGACGCUUCAGACUACGCUCGGUGAGCGUCCAGACGCAGAAAGUCACGGCGUGUGGGGUUCCGUUUACAGGAACUGCCCGGCGUCGGCCCGUCCGUAGAGAUGGAAAGCGGAUCGGUGAUCGCCGGCGGCUGGGCAGGGAGUAUGGCAAAGGGAGCUGCUGCUCACGGGCGCGCGCUUUCCCCUGGGGGGACGAGAAUGUUCUGGAACAAGAUCGAGGUGACAGCUGCGCAACAUUCUGAUUGUACGAGAUGCCAAUGAAUUGGACGCUAACAUGGUUACAAUGAUGAAUUUUAUCUGAAGGAAGGAAGGAGAGAAGGAAGGGGGUGGCCUAGGCUGACUGCCUCCACGGUAAGGGCCUCGAGGCCAGGCCUGCGCCCGCUCUCUGAGGAGCGCUCCCCUGGAAGGCAUCGCGAUGGUCCUGAUAGCUGUGCAGGAGCGAUGGAGAUGUACCUGCUGAGGCCCAGAGCGGGCGACAAGCCACUUCAGGGACAAGCAAGAGGCCAGUGGCUGCCCAGAGUGACCGGCUAGCAGCAGGGCUAAGAUCCGCCCACUGGCAUGCUCUCCGGGCACCCUGCGUGUGCACUGUCCUUUCCUCCCGGGCCUGGUUCGAAGGAGACUGGUCCCAUCCCAUUCAUGCCGUGAAGAGGGAUUGGCAGUGCCUGGCACCUCGUCUACUCUGGAAAGACCUGAAGUUGCACAAGGGCUGAUGUCAGGUCCUGUGGGAUGAGUUACAGCCCCACCGCCCUGUCACAUUUGGCUCUCUGCCUUUGCUUGAAGUUCACAGCCUCCUCCUUUCCGGUCCCCUGAUUCUUGAUGUUUAAUUGCUAAUAGCAAUCCCUCCCCUUCUAUUUAUAACCACUUCAUAAUGCAGACCAGUGUCUCCCUGUGGUCGGGUGGUUUUAGUAAAUCCGCUCAGUAAUCUGAUGCUAACAGUCAGAGCAGUGUGUUUCUCUUGACCCUGGCUGAGAGUCACUUUGUGUGGUGGCACCACUCCCAGCCCUGAGAUGGGGGCAGCCCGUUCCCGCGUGGAAAAACCAACUUGCUCUUCCACUUCUUGUGGAUGAGUGUACACGCACUUGGGUGUGGGUGGGGUGGGGGCUGCCGAGGCAGGACAGAGGGCACCGUUAUUGGAGCCCAGGCUGAGUGUUUCUCCUUGCUCCAUGCACACAGACGUUUUUGAAGUCAGUUUGGAUUUUUGUGGAAACUUCAUUUUUUUAUUUUUCCCUCUUGUUUCUCUGGUAACAUCGAAAACAAACACACACAGAUGUGUCACCUGGCUCCCAGCUACGUUUUUCCAGCAGACACCUACAACUGGAAACUCAGCAGGACUUGGACUCCAGAAUCCAAAUGAACUCUUACUUAACUCCUCCUCCACCAAUUCUCUCUGUGCCUCACCCACCACAGAGCUGGCUGGGCAGACGCCCUCUUCCAGGCACCAAGGAGAAAGGGCUGUGGCUACUCUGUCCACCACCCAGGAACAGGCUUCUCCCCAGACAUUUGCAGGGGAAGAAAUCUCUGCUCCCAUAUCUUCCUGCCCUGCUCGUGAUUUAAAUAUAAGAACGAAGGUGUUUGCAACACUCACUUGCCUUCUCCGAACAACCAGAGCUUCUGACCGUGGAACAGGCUAUUUAUUCCCCAAAGCUGAGGAUUCCUUGUCUCUAGAAACCACAGAAUUUGCUUACUAGGAAAAUAUUGUUCCUUUAUUCCAGUUGUUUCAUUGUAAAAUGAAGCAGCUAAGGAACAAAGAGGAGGCCACACAGAGAAUUAGUGGUAAAGCUAGAGAGAGGAAGCCCGUUCCUGGCUCCAGUCUGCCCUCCACACCAUUCGGCUGGUCCCCACUGAGAGAAGCUGCCGAGUAUCUCGUCUGGAAGGCCUCCCAGGCUCCAGGAACUAGCUUUUUCACCAGUUCUGUUUUUGCUGACUUGUUCCAUUUUUGUUCUAAAUAAGGAAUUUCACAUUUCUACCCAGUUUUGAAUCUCAAAUAUGUACUCUGACAAUAUAGAAACUUUUCUAACACAUAGUAGCAUAUCAGCCAAAUUUCCCCUUUUACUCAUUAAUUCACCAAAUGGUUAUUCAACACCUACUGUGAGCUGGGCCAUGUGUGGUGGGAAUGCAAGGGUAGAUACAACCAAGUCUGUGUCCGCAAGAGCUCCUGGUGUCCCGUAGUGCAGCAGACAGAGGCACGGACAGGUGAUGCCUGCCUUGCAGGCCACAGUGCCAACACGGGUUGGCUUGGAGAUGUCCUUCCCUCUGCAGUGUUUACAGGAACUGUCUGCAGGUCCUGCUGCCAUGGCCCUCUUCACUGGAUGCUGGCUCUUCAACCACAUAUGUAAACUCAGGGUAAAUCUUUCUCCCUUCAUCUGGCUGUGAAGGAAUUCUGACAGAAGCGUACCUCUCGGACAGGGUCCAUCUCAGCUCUAACAUGCCUGAAAGCAGUGAACCGCUUAAACAGAGACUUCCUUCAAAAACACUGAAUAAAGAAAAUCCCUGGACUUAAUAAAAAUUGCUGCCAUUCGAAAACAAAGAGACACGAGGUGCUGGUUCAUGUCCUUCAUCAGGCAGAUGCCAAGAUAGGAUUAGCUGUGCAGAUGUCAUGGGGAAACAUCUGUGAAAGACAAAGGGGAGGGAGCUGGGAAGGCAUGGGGGAGAAAGGAGGAUGGGCAGGAAGUCUGGGACUGCUGCACAGGCCAUGGAAGGUUCUGGAGCCCAAGUCACCCCUUCGUGGCGUCCUGUGUGUUGCAGGAGUGACCUGCGUUAGUGUCCCCCCAGCUGAGUCUUGG
This 3618-nucleotide long non-coding RNA is filed under the name Equus caballus (horse). RNAcentral's name for it is "lncRNA (ENSECAG00000030620.3)". Lineage: Eukaryota; Metazoa; Chordata; Mammalia; Perissodactyla; Equidae. The record is from RNAcentral.